Molecule: non-coding RNA, 2202 nt
Organism: Camellia sinensis
Lineage: Eukaryota; Viridiplantae; Streptophyta; Magnoliopsida; Ericales; Theaceae
Source: RefSeq, a predicted model, not a curated record
AAUGAAGAUGCCACUGGAUUUGAGUAGUGACAUGUAUGGAGGAAGCGAUCAACUUGCAAAACUUAGCAACACGGUCAUGAUAUGUAUUAUAAUAGGUAAUUUUAUGCCAUGACUGUACUGCUAAGUUUUGCAAGUUGAUCGCUUCCUCCGUACAUGUCACUACUCAAAUCCAGUGGCAUCUUCAUUGCUACACUUAACAGCGUCAGCGUAGCGGCAUUGAUAGUGAAGAAUUUGCACAGAAACCAAAGUUUUUGUUUGGAAAUGCAGAGAGAGCAUCGGCAACAAUUGCUAAGAAGCAAAUUAGAGAUGCUAACAUACAUCCGAUCCAUGUCAUUGGGGAUUUGGGCGCGCAACGCUCAAAGCAACAGUGGCUGCAAUUAGGUGAUCGCGACACCAAAUUUUUUUCAUAAAAUGGCAUCGUGGAGAAGGAUUCGGAAUCAUAUUACCUGUGUGCGGGAUGUGGAUGGUAAUGUUCUUACUGAACCAAAGGCUAUUCAAGCAGCUUUUGUGGAUCAUUUCAAGAAAUUAUUUUCACCAUCUGGAAGCUUAGCUGAGGACUCAUCGGAUACAGGACUUUUUAUGGAAAUCUAACCGUGACCGAGGCAUCUAUUGGAAGAAAUGGCUCCAUGUGUUUUCCUUGCAAUUGGGGUGGUUUGGAGUUCAGGGAUCUUAGAUGUUUUAAUCAAGCUUUAUUGGCUAAACAGGCAUGGCGAAUAGUGUCCAAUCCAAAUUUAUUGUUGUCUAUAGUCCUGUUAGGCAAAUAUUGUCAGCAUCAUCCCUUCUUGCAAGUCCCUCAAAACAGUCAAUCUACAUGGGGAUGGCGGAGUAUUUUAUGGGGUCGAGACCUUUUAAACACAGGGGUUCAAUGGGUUGUGGGUAAUGGUAAAAAUCUCUCUCCUUUUGAGGAUCAAUGGAUACCGUUGAUGUCUAAUCCUUUACGAGGGAGGAACAUGAAUAGGAUGUUGCCUUCUAUGAAGGUAGCGCAUUUUAUUGACCAUGAACACAGAUGUUGGCGAGAUAACUUGAUUAGAUUAUUUUUUCCUGAUGAAUGUAGUAGACGUAUUCUAUCAACACAUCUUGCCAGAGGGCAGUGAGGAUAAAUUGAUUUGGCGACCAGUUAAGAGUGGGAAAUAUUCUGUCAAAUCGGGAUAUAAACAAGCCUUGCUUUGUUAUUUUCCGAUUUAUGGACAACAAAAUAGAGAUCAAAUGGUAUGGAAGAAAUUGUGGAAACUAGGGCUCCCUCCGAAAUGGGCUUUAUUUAGAUGGAAGUGUCUUCAUAGAUUGCUUCCAGUACAGUGGGAACUAAAAAAGUGAGGAAUAGUGGUUGAGACAAAAUGUGUUCGAUGCCACAAGACCCGAUGAAACUAUCGAACAUUUGUUUUUUUCAUGCGAUUUCUCACAGUGGGUUUGGACUUCAGUUCUGGAGUUUCAGUCCCCUUUUUCAGGUGGUUCACAACAUGGAUUGAGCAAAUCAAAGACACAUAGAUUAUUGUACAAUCGGUUGCUCUUCUUUGGGCUAUCUGGUUACAAAGGAACAGUUAUGUUUUCAACUCUACUCCUAGGAAUAUUGAGGGCACCAUCAAAGAUGCCAGGAACCUGUCUGCUUGGGCAAUUUCUUUUCGCACUAAUGCUGCUAGUUUUUGUGAUGCUGAUGUAGGAAAGGCAGUAAACAAUAUAAUCAUCUUGUUUUCCAUCAGGCAUGCGAACAGAUGAACACUACAACCAUGUUGAGGCUUAUCACGGAUGGAGCAUGAAAAUCGGCUCAGACAGAAGCUGGUAUAGCGUGGGUCUAUGUGGAUCACACAGGGCAGCUCAUAUAUCAAAUGCAGCAAGAGUGAAUCCUCUUCCUUGUACGACAGCAGCAGAAGCAAUGGCCUGUCUGGAGGCUUUCGGGCAGGCAGUCUGGGAUUUCAAUGUUAAUUAUUCAAACUGAUUGCCAAGUCUUGGUUCACAUCCUUCAGAGUAAAGGCACAAUGUUAGAUUGGCAGAUUAUGUCUAUUGUUAAUGAUAUUAUUAACUCUUAUAAGGAUUUUGAUUAUCUUAGUAUUAGUAAAGUUGAUCCGAAUGUAAUUACACCGGCACAUAAACUGGCAACCGAUGUAAUUAAUGUCAUCAUAUAAUAUUUUGUGGUUGUUCGUUCUCAAAAAAACAAUCCAUGUGGUGUUGGCCUAAAAGGGGAAAGAAAAAAAAAAAGAGCUUUAG